UUUAAAAAGAAUUUCUUCUUUUUGUUUUUUUUCCCUUCCUCUCUCCUUUCCCCACCCCCCACGAGCUGUCUCUCACUUUCUUGCACAGCCGCCACGACCCAGCAGCCUUCCGACGGAGAUUCCGGCCAACUCCGGCCGUCUCCGGCCACGAAACUGGUCCCAUUCUCUUCGUCUCUCUCUCCUCUAUACACCUAUGCCAAUUUCCAGCUGUGAUUCUAAGUGUUAAUACCAGAAAUUCGAACCCAAGAUGCUAAAUGGGUCAUGGGGCAGCGUUUCCUUAGAAGUCUCGUGAGAAAAGUUGAGGCUAGUGUAGUGUGCUCUGCCUCUUCUCUCCCCUAGUCAAUUCCAGCUGCUCCCAUCGCCACCAGGCAGUUGAUCAUCUUAAAAUCGAACGGCCGUAGCAAGUUGUGAACCCAGAGACGAGUUUAUGUAGGAUAAACUUUUGAAUCAUUUUUGUUUGAAAAUUGAAUUAUGUUAGAUAUACUCUGAUGUCGCCCCUGUUAGGGAUUGAUUAUAAGGUCGGAGGCCUAAUAUGUAAACUGCAAGAAUUUAUCUUGUGCAUGCUGCUUGUUGGGAUGUAUAAAUGUUAGAUAUGCUGUCUUGUUUCUUUAGUAAGUGGGCCCGACAUCAUAUUCAUGGCCUCCUCCCAAGGCCUCUGAUUGAGACCAUGGGGUCCUCAUCUUCAAUUGCUAGCGAAUCCACCAAGUUCUCGUCCUCUGGAAGAUUCUCAACUGGAACUGGAUGGGCCUCGACUGGCAGAUCAUCAAUCAGGUGCAAGAAAAAAUCUAUGGCAUCUAUCCUUUCAAUCAUCAUAUUCAUGAUCUCCUCCCAAGGUCUCUGACUAAGACCAUGGGUAUUCCCGUAUAAAACAACAUUUUGAAAUUCAUACUAGUAGCCAUAGUCGUAUGGAAUAUCAUACUCUAGUAAUGGAUUACCCUCCAGCAACAGUAAUAUAGCAUCCUCCAGCUCCUGGACACUUUGAUAGUUUGCAACAUUAAUCUGUCCUAUGUAAUGAUCUAUUCCAUAAGAAGUCUGUCGAUUUACUAUAGCUAGCCCUUGAUCCCCAACCGCAUCUCCCUCGCUGCCCCUAUUUUCUUCCUCAUCAUGUUGGCCUCUUGAUCCUGUUGAAACAAGACAACUGCAUUAAAUAACACACGUAUAAUAUCCUAUUGAAACUUUAUAAAAUAAAAAAGACAAGCCCAUUAAAUCGACACUCCUGAUGGAAUGGAUCAUUACAUAGGAUAGAUUAAUGUUGCAAACCAUCAAAGUGUCCAGGAGCUGGAAGAUGCUAUAUUAUUGUUGCUGGAGGGUAAUCCAUUACUAGAGUAUGAUGUUCCAGACGAUUACAACUACUGGUAUGAAUUUCACAACGUUGUUUUUAUACGAGAAUACCCAUGGUCUCAGUCAGAGACCUUGAGAGGAGGUCAUGAAUAUGAUGAUUGAAAGGAUAGAUGCCACAUAUUUUUUCUUUCACCUGAUUGAUGAUCAGCCAGAAGAGGCCCAUCUAGUUCCAGUUGAGAAUCUUCCAAAGGACGAGGACCUGGUGGAUUCGCCAGAAGUUGAAGUUGAGGAUCUCAUGGAUUUGCCAGUGGUUGAGGACCCCAUGGAUCUGCAAGUGGUCGAGGACCAGCACCUGGUUGAGGAUGAGAGUGACAAGA
Non-coding RNA from Prunus avium (sweet cherry), 1658 nucleotides. The record is from RefSeq and is a predicted model, not a curated record. Lineage: Eukaryota; Viridiplantae; Streptophyta; Magnoliopsida; Rosales; Rosaceae.